Molecule: ribosomal RNA, 459 nt
Filed under: uncultured bacterium
Lineage: Bacteria
Description: partial 16S ribosomal RNA
Rfam family: Bacterial small subunit ribosomal RNA
Source: RNAcentral
CCUACGGGGGACUGCAGUGAGGAAUAUUGGUCAAUGGGCGCGAGCCUGAACCAGCCAAGUCGCGUGAGGGAAGACGGUCCUAUGGAUUGUAAACCUCUUUUGUCGGGGAGCAAAAGACGCCACGCGUGGCGUUCCGAGAGUACCCGAAGAAAAAGCAUCGGCUAACUCCGUGCCAGCAGCCGCGGUAAUACGGAGGAUGCGAGCGUUAUCCGGCUUUAUUGGGUUUAAGGGGUGCGCAGGCGGAAGAUCAAGUCAGCGGUAAAAUUGAGAGGCUCAACCUCUUCGAGCCGUUGAAACUGGUUGUCUUGAGUGAGCGAGAGGUAUGCGGAAUGCGUGGUGUAGCGGUGAAAUGCUUAGAGAUCACGCAGAACUCCGAUUGCGAAGGCAGCAUACCGACGCUCAACUGACGCUCAUGCACGAAAGUGUGGGUAUCGAACAGGAUUAGAUACCCGUGUAGUC